This 56-nucleotide transfer RNA is filed under the name Biomphalaria glabrata. It matches the Rfam family "tRNA", at positions 8 to 63 of the family's 71-position model. From Rfam's summary of the family: Transfer RNA (tRNA) molecules are approximately 80 nucleotides in length. Their secondary structure includes four short double-helical elements and three loops (D, anti-codon, and T loops). Lineage: Eukaryota; Metazoa; Mollusca; Gastropoda; Planorbidae. The record is from Rfam by way of RNAcentral.
UGGCUGAGCGAUAAAGCGCUUGGCUUACGAUCCAGCGUCCCGGGUUCGAAUCCUGG